CGAUCCUGGAACCAAUACAAAAAACGUUCCAGAGAAUUCAAAAAACCUGACGAUGGCCGGUAGAUCAGGUUGAAAACGUUUGUAAAACAAUAAACAUUGGUUCUCAGAUACAUAAGGUGUGUGUGUCAUAGUCUAACAAGAUCAUGUAAGAGCAAAAAAGUGCAGUUGAUCGAUCUUGGCCUGUGUACAUAUAAACGAAAACCGAACGAGUUUUGCGGAACUCUUCAUUACCUGUGUCCUGAAAUUCUUGAAGGAAAACCAUAUGAUUCCUACUGCGAUUGGUGGGCUUUUGGUUAACACGAUAUACCAGAUUUUAAUCGGAAAAACACCGAUGGCGAGUUAUUUAGAAACAAUUAUGGAACAUUAUGAAUAUGAUUGUGAAUAUUUCAAAAGAUUGACCGUUGCAGAAAGAAUCAGAUUUGCUCAAGGCAUCCAGGUGCACUAUCCUAAAUAUUUAUCGAUUGAUGCAAAGAAGUUUAUUCAAGAUUUAUUACAGAAAGUGAAUUUAUAAUUUAUAAAAACCGUUUUUCCACAUGAUCUGUUUCAAAAUUAUUUUUUACUGCAUUUUUAAACUAUUAAAUGGUUUAUUUAAACUUAUUUGAAUGUUUGAGCUGUUUUCUGUUUUCAAUUUCUAAAUUUAAUAUACUUUAAAACCUGCGCGAACGCUACUGAACAUAUUUACCUGCUUAACGGGUUUGCGUUUUGAGCUGGUUUUAUUUAUAACAUCGAAAAUCUGUCCGUUUUGAAGAAUGAUUGUUUUCAGGUGGUGAAUAUGUUUUUCGUGAAACUUGUUUUCUUUAUGAAAAUUAUAUGGAUUAUUUUAAUUUUGAGGUAAGUUGAUUUAAUUAUAAUCUAUAACAUAAUAAAAAUACAGUUGAUUUUAUUGCUCUUUGGUAAUUAUCUUAAGUAAGUUAAAUACAAAGUUAAAAUAAAUUAGUAACGAUAAUUUGAAUUCACAUUUUAUUCAAAUACUCUUCCAAAUCCAGCAAAUAUCUUCAAAAAUAUUCUAAACAUUACAUCAUAGAUGGCUCCAUUUUAAUAUAGGCUGCUCGCAAUUUACAUAAGAACUAAAAUAUUUUCUGACAAUUUAUUGUAGAUCAGUCUACUCAAUGAGGUGUUGGUCUUUAUGAAUGUAUAAUAUCGAUAUGUCAAUAUGUAACGUAACGACCAGAAAGAAAUUUCACCUUUAUUAUCACAUUUUGGUAUUGUGUUAUUAAUACUCAUUAUCUAAAACAUGAUAUUGUGUAGAUUUGUACAAAACAAACCACAAUGUUUCAAGUUUAAAAAUAAAUAUAGGCCUAUACAUAUUUAAUACAAUUUGCCCUUAAUUACACAAGAUAAGUUCCAUAAACUUGUCACUACAAAUAAUUAAUAAUAAUAAAGAACAUUUGCAAAUCAGACUUUAAAUACACAGGAUAAAUAAAAAGUUUUUAAAUUUGACGUGAUGUUUAUGCUAGUGUAUUUCGUUUCGUACGAUACCAAAAAAACAACAACAACAAAAAAUACAAAUGAGUCGUAAUAUAUAAGAAUUCUAUCAAGUGUUUCUGUAGUAAUAAAUAAUUAUUGUAAAUAAAUUGCAUAGAUGCAUUUAAUUUUACACAUUCAAAUAGUUCAUAAAUUACUGCUGUUGAAUAUUAUUGUGUUUUAGUAUUUCGUAAGGCAAAUAAUCAGUAUUUAUUAUAAAGGAAAUAACACUUAAGAAUUGUUAUUAUUACAAAUAAGAGAUAAAUGUGACAUUUGAAAUUUGUUAUUAUUAAUCAAUUUUAUGUUUAAUUCUUUAGCAUGGCAGGCAGAGGCCUCAAUAUGGGCCAACUGCCCAAUGGUCCGAAUUUGGACCAUUUAUACAAGUCGAUGAAUAUGGAAGGAUAGUGGAGAUGCCUGGAUAUGGGUCUCCGGAAGUAUUUUAUGAUUACCGUCCACCCUUUCAACAAGGCGCUUGGUACGUUCCAACUGAAGUACCUGAUUAUGCGCCGCCUACUCAAACAUCCGAGUAUGAUAUGGCGCCAGAAGUUACUCAAUAUUGGUAAGCGCCCGAGUACUAUCAAUAUGGUUCGUCGAUAGAGGAAGAGAGGAGCGAACCUCCAUCAAAUAUUUUAGAAAAUCAAUCAACAGAAGUGCUCGAAAAUGAGCAAUGCUUCUCACAUCUUUAUUAUCAGCACA
RNAcentral lists this long non-coding RNA (2160 nucleotides) under Centruroides sculpturatus (bark scorpion). RNAcentral describes it as "uncharacterized LOC111621462". The record is from RNAcentral. Lineage: Eukaryota; Metazoa; Arthropoda; Arachnida; Scorpiones; Buthidae.